GACGAACGCUGGCGGCGUGCUUAACACAUGCAAGUCGAGCGGUAAGGCCCUUUCGGGGGUACACGAGCGGCGAACGGGUGAGUAACACGUGGGUGACCUGCCCUCAGCUCUGGGAUAAGCCUGGGAAACCGGGUCUAAUACUGGAUAUGACUCCAUGACGCAUGUUGUGGGGUGGAAAGCCUUGUGCGGCUGAGGAUGGGCCCGGCGGCCUAUCAGCUUGUUGGUGGGGUGAGGCCUACCAAGGCGACGACGGGUAGCCGGCCUGAGAGGGCGACCGGCCACACUGGGAC
RNAcentral lists this ribosomal RNA (290 nucleotides) under uncultured bacterium. RNAcentral's name for it is "partial 16S ribosomal RNA". It matches the Rfam family "Bacterial small subunit ribosomal RNA", at positions 28 to 319 of the family's 1533-position model. The record is from RNAcentral.